AUUGAACGCUGGCGGCAUGCCUUACACAUGCAAGUCGAACGGUAACAGGUCUUCGGAUGCUGACGAGUGGCGAACGGGUGAGUAAUACAUCGGAACGUGCCUAGUAGUGGGGGAUAACUACUCGAAAGAGUGGCUAAUACCGCAUGAGAUCUACGGAUGAAAGCAGGGGAUCGCAAGACCUUGUGCUAAUAGAGCGGCCGAUGGCAGAUUAGGUAGUUGGUGGGAUAAAAGCUUACCAAGCCGAAGAUCUGUAGCUGGUCUGAGAGGACGAUCAGCCACACUGGGACUGAGACACGGCCCAGACUCCUACGGGAGGCAGCAGUGGGGAAUUUUGGACAAUGGGCGCAAGCCUGAUCCAGCAAUGCCGCGUGCAGGAUGAAGGCCUUCGGGUUGUAAACUGCUUUUGUACGGAACGAAAAGCCCUGGGUUAAUACCCUGGGGUCAUGACGGUACCGUAAGAAUAAGCACCGGCUAACUACGUGCCAGCCGCCGCCGUAA
This 498-nucleotide ribosomal RNA is filed under the name uncultured bacterium. RNAcentral's name for it is "partial 16S ribosomal RNA". It matches the Rfam family "Bacterial small subunit ribosomal RNA", at positions 30 to 523 of the family's 1533-position model. The record is from RNAcentral.